Molecule: non-coding RNA, 3582 nt
Organism: Drosophila virilis
Lineage: Eukaryota; Metazoa; Arthropoda; Insecta; Diptera; Drosophilidae
Source: RefSeq, a predicted model, not a curated record
UAAAUAUAUAUAUACGUGUGUGUGUGUGUGUGUGUGUGCAGCACCUCAGCAUUCCAUUUGCGUCUCAUUUGUUGUCUGGUCGCUGUCUGUCUCUUUGUCUGAGUGUCCGCGUAUCUUUGUAUCUUAUAGAUACAUAGCGCAUUCUAAAGUGUCUACAAGUGAUGAGCACGGCAUUUAGUUGCAAUUUUCAGUUUCACUUGGCGACGACGUCGACGCCGGUGAAAAAGAAACAAAUACGAAGACAAAAAAACAAAAACAACAGCUACAAAGUAAAAGACUUGCAUAGACGAAUAAAAAUAAAAAUAAAUAAAAUGCAAACGGGCAAAAACAAAGGCGAUAUAGACAUGAAUUGCUAUAAAAAUGUGAGCUAUGCUAGAUGCAAAUGCUAAAAGCGAGAAAGAAGCCGAAGUAGAAAUCUACGGCCAGCCCAAAGCCGACUGACAAACUAUUACAAAGAACAAAUAGAUUGUGUAUAGGACAUAUAUAAUCAAAUAUAUAUUGUUAGGAACACCAAUAACAUUCAAUUUAAAUAAUUAAAAGCUAACCUGCUAUCUGGGAUUCAAACAAGCUCCUCUCCUCCUGGGGAAUGUGGAUGUUAAAUAUAAAUUUGAAUUGAAAACUAAAUUUUGAUUUGCCUGAAACGUUAAGAAACCAUCAUAUUAAUUCUACUUGAAAUGAACAAGUAAAUUUUAUAAUCACUUUUCGUAAUUAUUGGUAUAGGAAACUACAAAUAAAAAGAUGUAAGCCCACUAAAUUUUAUUUUUAAUUAUAUAACAGCACAUUUAAUCUUUGAUACGCCUUUCGAAACACAAAGUGUUGGCGCUGGGGCUAGGGUUCGAGAACUAAUUCGAUUAUUCGAAAAAAUGCAUGCGCUGGCAACAUGAACAAUGUCUGAGCGGGGUCAGAGUUUAGACGCCAGACAGAUAAGUAUAUCAAAAAGUCAUACAGUCAUACAGUCGGGGUAAUUACAAACUAGUACUCGUAAGUUAGCCACUGCAUGUCAAACUGUGUCAUAUGGCAUAUUAAAAUCAAAGUCUUGAAAAGAAAAUGCCUCAAACAGCCGUGCAUUAAAUAAUCAACAUGAUAACCCCAAAAGUCGCUCGGGCAGUACAUUCUGUUGGAACGACCGAAACAAACUAAAACUCAAAUGAAGCUGACGCUAAAACCGAAACUGAUAAUCUGUCACACAGGCACAAUAUAAAUACGUACAUAUCAUAUUGUGUACAUGCAUGGAAUCAAAUACAAAUAUUUAUUUUUAAUGCCCUAUUAAAAUAGAAUUCUAGUAGUGCGAUUGCGGCCAGCGACGAGACAACAAACACAAAAUUAAGUUUGCUUAUCAACUAUGCAUGUGUGUGUUUGUGCAUUUGACUGAAUGACAACAACAAGAACCUAACUAGGAUUGAUAAGGCGACGAAACAGCACUGUUCUGACAGUGUGUGGCUGUGCAUGGGUCAGAGUUCAAACAUAAUACCGUACUUAGACAAAUCUGGACGGACCAUAAUCGAAUCUAAGUGGAAACCUGCUUAUCAGCAGGUCAGCUCCGAGCUCAGCUCAAAUAGCUAUUAAAUGGGAACAGCAAGUGCUCGAAAUGCAUGACUUUUAAAAAAAAACCUCUUAAGUAAUUUUUGAUUUUGGUAAAUGGUAUACAGCUUGACAUCAGAGCUAGACAAAUAAAAUAGCCGGAAUGCUCUAAUUUAUCUAGCACAAAAUGGAAUAAUGCUUAAAUUGAUAUUUCAGAGAGAUUGAGCUUUUAAUGAUCCGUAUUAUUUUUCUGAUUAGUUUUCGCAUUAAAGGUAAUUUUGAAAGUUUCCUCCCAAAGAGUAUCAAAUAGUUGUGCUUUACUCUGAAACUAAGUUUCUAGGAAGAUUUGUAUUACGUCGUAGCGGACCCGGGGUCUUUUGGAGAGCAACAGGUUGCUGCCGUUGGCAACCGGGAAUCCAGUUAUGUACUAGCUUCAGCUUCGGUGAUUCCAGGGCAACAACAAGAACGAGCGCCAAGUAUUUGACGCCGCUGGGGCUAUCAAUGCAAUUGAACUCUGGUAACGGGCAACUGACAACCAACAGCAAUCGAAGAGAGAACGAUAAAGAGAGACACAAGUAUGAAGGAGAGUGAGAGAGAAAUAGUCGUAUGCAUGUGAAUUCAUUUGUAGGUACACAUACGGUAUAUAUGUGAAUACAUAUAGAACAAGUAUAACAACUUGCUGGAUGAUUUGAAACUAGUGCCGAGAUCUGUUGGACUCAUUUUAAUUGCAAGUAAUCUUUAUAAAUAGAAAACAUGACGAAGACACCCAAGAACGUAAAGCAAAGACCGAAGAAGGUCCCCUUCGACUCCGAACCGAGUCCGAUUUAUGCAUGAAUGCGGUGGACAACGCUCGCACUAACGACCAAUGCAUAAAUCAAUGAGGAGGGCUUCAGAAUUCGAAGGGGAUAUAACCAGGCAAAAACUAAACGUGGAAGCCAAUGCGAAAAAUGAACUGGCACUGGCCAUAAAUGAGUAAUUGCUGACAUUGCCGUAGCCAUUGCCAUGUUCAGCGGAGGCAGAGACAGAGGCAUAGGCAGAGGCAAAGCCAGAGGCUGCAGCUGAAGGAAACAAGCGGCGUUCAGUUCUGGAGUCCGGUUCCGUUUUUAGCGGAGACAACAACCCAUAAAUGUGCGCCUAGACAAAGGCCUAAAACAAACAACCAAGGCUUAAGCAGCAGCAAUACUUAGUGACCAUCCAUGCCAGUGCUUGGCAUUCAAUUACAAUUACAGCCCCCAUGCCGACAACAACGGCAACAGACCGACUGGACUUCAGCAGAAAAAUGCUUGGUGUCUCUUGGAGUGUUGCUGUAUUGGUAGCUUGGAUAACUUGGAGUCUUGGGCUUGGCUUUUUGGUCUUGGUCUUGCGGCUGACGGCCGGCGUGGCUUCCAGCUCCAGCGCCAACUCCCAACUCCAUCUCCGUCAGCAUUUCUAUUUGAAUCUGUUGGUGCGAUGCGCGCGUCUCAUGUUGACAAACUCACUUAACAAAUCCACAACUACUUAUACAACCCGCAAUACAACAAACAGUAAUUUUUCUCGCUUCAUUGGCAUCGUCUGCCGAUUGCUGACUGCCGACUGCUGACUGCCGGGAAGAAGCCUGUAAAGCGAGCAUAAGCAUGUCGGCGGUUUGUUUAGUCAACUUGCUCCGUGAAGCCAGUGGAGCGGCAGGGACUGGCGCGAGAGGAGAGGGUAUAUGGGCAGACUGAGAGGGGCGACUUAAAACUUGGCUGCUGCCAGUUAAGUAAACAGAGAAUUUGUAUUGUACAAAGGCCACAGACAGACACAGACACACACACACACACACACAUACAGCGACAGACGCAGACACAGAUACAGAUACAGCAGCUACUCGGCAUUGCGGCUGACCGUUGUUUGCCUUGCUCUAGAGUUCUCCAUGGCUACAGAACACAGCCUGGGCGCGGCUGCAUCCAUAUAGGCUCUUAAUGAUAUAGCUAUACCAAAAUAUAUAUGCGUAUAUAUAAAAAAAAAUGUCAUGAAAUGAAACGAAUUUCGUCUAUGCCAUCGCCAGCAUCCAAUGCACAUUAUAAAAGUCCAAGAACAACA